This 454-nucleotide ribosomal RNA is filed under the name uncultured bacterium. Its description in RNAcentral is "partial 16S ribosomal RNA". It matches the Rfam family "Bacterial small subunit ribosomal RNA", at positions 28 to 507 of the family's 1533-position model. The record is from RNAcentral.
GAUGAACGCUGACAGAAUGCUUAACACAUGCAAGUCGACCUGAACUUCGGUUCGGUUGGCGGACGGGCGAGUAACGCGUAAAGAACUUGCCCCACAGCUAGGGACAACAUUUGGAAACGAAUGCUAAUACCAGAUAGUAUGAUAAUAUGGCAUCGUAUAUUUAUGAAAGCUAUAUGUGCUGUGAGAGGGCUUUGCGUCCCAUUAGCUAGUUGGAGAGGUAACAGCUCACCAAGGCGAUGAUGGGUGGCCGCCCUGGGAGGGUGAUCGGCCACAAGGGACCGGGGACAGGGCCAUUACGCCAACGGGGGCAAGCGGUGGGAAAUUUUCGACAAAGGACCGAGAGUGUGAUCCAGCAAUUCUGUGUGCAAGAUGAAGUUUUUCGGAAUGAAAAGAUCUUUCAGUUGAGAAGAAAAAAAUGACGGUACCAACUGAAGAAGUAACGGCUAACUACGUG